RNAcentral lists this ribosomal RNA (468 nucleotides) under uncultured bacterium. RNAcentral describes it as "partial 16S ribosomal RNA". It matches the Rfam family "Bacterial small subunit ribosomal RNA", at positions 28 to 507 of the family's 1533-position model. The record is from RNAcentral.
GACGAACGCUGGCGGCGUGCUUAACACAUGCCAGUCGAACGGACAGGCCCUGCUUUUGUUGGGUGCUCGAGUGGCGAACGGGUGCGUAACACGUGAGUAACCUGACCUUGCCUUUGGGAUAACUUCAGGAAACUGGGGCUAAUACCGGAUAGGAGCUCCUACUGCUUGGUGGGGGUUGGAAAUUUUCGGCGGUUGGGGAUGGACUCGCGGCUUAUCAGCCUGUUGGUGGGGUAGUGGCUUACCAAGGCUUUGACGGGUAGCCGGCCUGAGAGGGUGACCGGCCACAGUGGGACUGAGAAACGGCCCAGAGUCCUACGGGAGGCAGCAGUGAGGAAUAGUGCACAAUGGGCGGAAGCCGGAUGCAGCAACGCCGCGUGCGAGAUGACGGCCGUCGGGGUGUAAACCGCUUUCGCCUGUAACGAAGCGUGAGUGACGGUAAUGGGUAAAGAAGCACCGGCUAACUACGUG